CUUGUAUAUAAAUAAAACAAUUGAUUGACGUUAACAAUAGUAUGACGUUAACAAAUACAAGGGAGACUACUAAUGUCAUAAUGUCAUUUUAAGACUUUAAAAUGUUACGUUAAAAUUAGAAUAUCAUUUAUCAUUUAAUCCCGGGUUGAGAAUGUUUAUGAAUAAUUCUUCCUUCUUCCUCCGGAGAAAAUCAUUUUGACGAUUGACCAUAUACAAUGGAAAUAUUUUAAAUCGUCCAUUAGAACAACGAUGAAAAUGGUCGUUUGCCCUGAUGAGUGUUAAAUCUUCAUGGUUGGUUUGCUGUCUAUGUAAAGUCAUUCUAGUCCGCAGUUCAUUUUUUGUCUCUCCAACAUAGAAUUCCUCACAAUUUGAACAUAUGAGAGAAUAGAUGAGGUUUGAACUUUUACAAGAUAUUUUGCUUAACCAUGUUGUUAACAGUAAAAUGCUUUCCAUUUUUGAAAUAAAUUGAACUUUCUUCUAUUAGAUUUGGACAAGUCAUACAUCGUUUAUCGGUACAUUUUUU
RNAcentral lists this long non-coding RNA (523 nucleotides) under Mytilus galloprovincialis (Mediterranean mussel). Lineage: Eukaryota; Metazoa; Mollusca; Bivalvia; Mytilida; Mytilidae. The record is from RNAcentral.